UGAGCUCAGGCAAGGCUACCCGCUGAACUUAAG
Molecule: ribosomal RNA, 33 nt
Filed under: Tetradesmus obliquus
Lineage: Eukaryota; Viridiplantae; Chlorophyta; Chlorophyceae; Sphaeropleales; Scenedesmaceae
Also listed under: 2 other names
Description: partial 28S ribosomal RNA
Source: RNAcentral